CCUGCUCUCUCUCUAUACCCUUUUUUCUGACUAACUCAUUCAUUCCUUCUCAUGCUUUGUGGAUGCAAAUCAGGGGAAUUCCUGCCUUUGUAUCCAAUCUCCCUGUCCGUGCCGCCUCUCCUCUUAUCCCUAUAUCCAGGACCCUCCAAAGCCGGUCUGUCUCAGCUCCAUUAGAAAUGUGGUGCUCUGUGGCUCUGGUUGUCUGUGGAUUCUCUGCUUUGGUCCAGGUGUCGAUUCAGGGCCCUCACCAGAGAACCUUGUUGAAGAACCUUCUGAAGGACUACAAUCGAAUGGAGAGGCCGGUGGGCAAUGAUUCACACUCCCUCACAGUCUUCUUCACUAUCAGUCUGAUGCAGAUCAUGGAUGUGGAUGAGAAGAAUCAGGUCCUCACCACUAACAUCUGGCUUCGGAUGAGCUGGUUUGAUCAUUAUCUUCAGUGGAACCAGACUGAAUACCCUGGAGUGAAAAACCUUCGGUUCACAACUGACCAGGUGUGGACGCCAGACAUCCUCCUCUACAACAGUGCAGACGAUGACUUUGACUCCACCUUCAAGACCAACGUGUUGGUCAACUCCAGUGGCUUCGCGGAGUAUCUCCCUCCAGGGAUUUUCAUGAGCACAUGUAACGUGGACGUACGUUGGUUCCCCUUCGACAUCCAAAAGUGUGAGAUGAAGUUUGGCUCAUGGACGUACGAUGGCUGGCUGAUGGACCUACAAAUGAACGAGGCCGACAUCUCUGGUUACAUGUCCAACGGGGAAUGGGACCUAGUGGGAGUGCCAGGCACUCGUAGCGAGGUGUUCUAUGACUGCUGUAAGGAGCCCUACCCCGAUGUGACGUUCGUUGUGACCAUCCGCCGGCGCACUCUCUACUACGCUCUAAACUUGCUCAUCCCCUGUGUGCUGCUGUCCUCCAUGACCCUACUUAUCUUCCUACUGCCUGCCGACUCUGGGGGAGAAGAUCUCUCUGGGCAUCACUGUGCUGCUCUCGCUCACGGUCUUCAUGUUGCUGGUGGCAGAGAUCAUGCCAGCCACUUCAGAUUCCAUCCCUCUCAUAGGACAGUACUUUGCUAGUACUAUGAUCAUUGUUGGGAUGUCAGUCAUAGCUACAACGGUGGUGCUGCAGUAUCAUCACCACGACCCAAACGGAGGCCAGAUGCCCAAAUGGGUUAAUGUGGUCCUACUGCAGUGGGUAGCAUGGUUCCUACGUAUGAAGCGCCCAGGGGAGAGUGAUGACCCAGAGCGACCACCCUGCGCCCCCCACCUACGGCGCUGCUCUUCAAGCUCCCAAAGCGGUAGCAUCCCUAACCCUCCAGACCCCACGCUCAACCCACUGCACCCCCAGAACCUGGCCCCUCUCCAGGCUGGCCCCCUGCACGCAGGUCAACCCCACCUUCACGCCCAGUCCAGCGCCAACAACAACGGAAAUCUGCUCUACAUCGGCUUCCAGAACCUGGACGACCCCCCACUGCUCCCAGACCACAUCCAGAGAUACAGCAUCUCAGCCGGGCCUCCUCGAGUAGCAGGCAGCCCCCCUCCACCACCCCCCACCCCCAACGAGGACACUGUGGGCUGCCCUAGCACCAUUUCCAGUGGCGGAGGCUUUGGAAUAGGGGUUGGAGGACAGUACUCGGGAGGGGGUAUAGGUGAUCCCCAGCUCCAGGCUAUUCUAGAGGAGGUGCGUUACAUGGCGGACCGCUUCCGUGAACAGGAUGAGACGGAGAGCGUGGCCGACCAGUGGAAGUUUGCGGCAGCUGUCAUUGACCGGCUCUGCCUGGUGGCCUUCAGUAUGUUCAACAUCAUCUGCACCAUCGCCAUCCUCAUGUCCGCUCCCAACUUUGUGGAGGCCGCCUCCAAGGACUUCUUCUGAGGAAGAAGAGGAUGGGGCAGAGGAGAAGAGAAAGAAUGAGGGAGAAGAGAUGUAGGGGAGAAAGGAUGUGGAAUGAUUUGGGGCUUAGUCCAAGAGGGCUAUUGUUAGGGACCCUCCUGUCAAGAUGAGGGGGGGUUCUUUGGAGAUGACUAUAGAACAUCUCAAGAUGUUCUCUUGAAGUCUAUCAAUGACCUCUGAUGAAAUGGAACAGGAUGGGGCGCGAUGAGUUUAUGGGCGAAGAAUCCAAAAGGGCAUGGUUCAACGACUGUACAGGGUGAAGUUGAACAGGAAGGGCAAUAGAAAAGUGGAGCAUUGGAUAAUUCAACCUGAGAUUGGGAAGAUUGCAGUACUUACAGAAAGAGAGAGAGGGAAAUAGACAGAUGGAUAGGGCUGUUUUAUUUGAUGUCAAAUCCCAGAAAAGAAAAAAAAGGCAAAGAAAGACUGCAUCAUGUACUGAAACAGGGGACCAGGAGGGAGGGGGAGAGACUGCCUUUUACAAGGAAAGACAAGGAAAGAGUGUGUGAACAGACAAGAGGUUUUCCCUGGUGACAGUGAAGGUGGGAGGGUCAAACAAACUGAACUUGGCCUUGUCUCUGAGAUAGAAAGAACAAAGCGGAUUAGAGGAAUGGAAAUAAUAUCUAAUCUUUCAUUCUGGCAUUUGUUUCAUGGGCAUCAAAUUGAAAGGCCUUAAAUAACAUGCAGCCGAUUUCAGAUCAGUUGAGGCACCAAAUGAAUUCCCAUUUAACAGCCCCAUUUCCUUCCCCAGGCCUGAUCUGUCAGUGGGUUGCCAGUGUAUACCAAUCUCCACUUUUUGUUCUACGGUGUGUAGCGCUCCUUGUGAUUGGGCAACUGCAUUAGUGUGUAAUCAGUGUAAUUGCCAGUAAUUGUGUUACGGUGGAGGGUCGAUCAAAUAAUGACCCAUCAAACAGUCACCUAAUAGAAUUUGGCAGGUCCUAAUAGAGAAGGCUGAUCUCAUUGAGCUCCAAAGUGAAAUCUUAAUAUACUGUAUGCGAGGUCAGCAACUUUAAGAGGAAUGUGAAGGAAAGUGAUCCUCAAACCUCAAGAUGAACACACAAAUGACUUGGAUGAUUGGAAUGACACUCAUUUUUAUAUUGCACAAUAUGGUUGACAAUUGAUGGGAGUUUUAUUUUUUGAUAUUUUCAUAUUUUCCAAAUUCAACAUAUACUUACUAAAAUAUAUUUCCUAUCGUUAUUUUAAAGACCUGAGACAGCUCCUGGAAGAUCUCACAUCUCCCGCUCACUCUACAAACUGACGCAUCUCCUCCCUUCAGUGGAAACCUCAAGCUGGGAGUUGGACUGACUUUCUGGCACACACAUGUAUAGAAACAUUUCCCAUCCCGAAAUAAAGUAGUAUUUUUCUACCAUCCUUGCCUUCCUCAACAGACACUGGUGCUGAUAUACGCAAGAGAAAAAUGACAGAGGGGCAGAGAAAGUGCUGACACAGCGCGCGCCGGACAGGGUUUUAAUUGAUUACUCCUUCAGGAAGAGAGGAGGGAGGAAGGAAGGAGGGGGUAGACGGGCCAUGCUCGGUAAUUCAAUGGAUUUAUAAGAGAGGACCAGGGAAAUAGCCACUCGACAAAGCAUAACUCAGUCAUACAAUAAUGCAAAAUAUGUAGUAUAUUAAUAGUACAUUUUGGUAAAUGCACAUUUUCAAUGUCAAAUGGGUUAGCAUCUAUUGACUAGGAUGCUCAUUAUGAGUCUCUGACAUUGUGUAAGUUUCAGGUAUAUGGUUCUCUCUCCAGUCCAUACAGUAUGUUUUAUUCUGUCAGUAUAAUCAACACUCUGGUUCUCUUUCACUCGCUCUAUUCAUCUCUUUUCCCCCUCCCAUUCAUCUCUAUUUUUCUUUCUCUCUCCUUCUAUGUGUGUGUAGUCAGUGUUUGAGUUUUUAGCAUGUUACUCAGUGUCAGACGGAUGGAGAGGCUAUAUUUAUAGAGGCUGUUCUCCUACUGCAGGUCGUCUGACUGGGUAAUUCUCUCUUUCUAUCCUCUUUCCGAGGCACUGGGGUCGGCAAAUGUGCAGCGUUGGCACUCUGAUCUCCGAGAUUUACUGGGUUCACUCAGAUGGAAAAAGAAGAGAGUAGAUGAGGGGAAAAUGUGUGUGUGUGUCCGUGCUGUUUGUGUGUAGAGGAAUGUGUGCUUGCGUGUAUAAGCUUUGAAUCAGUUGUUUUUUCUGUCUCUCAGUUGAUGAGCAGUUGGAGCCAAGGCCCUCUCCGCAGCGAGAGAUUUUUCUCAAGAAGGCCAAUACAAGUGUACAUGUCUAGAAAGAUUGUUUUGAGUGUGAAUGGGCGCUGCAAUUUCACAUUAAAAAGGCACAUUACUGCAGUGCACGGGCGGAAUGAAAACCUACAGCUUGAAUAGAGACCUAAAACACAUGCCUGUGGCAGGCACACUUAAAUAAACUCCAGUCACACACAACUGUUAAUACUGCACACACACACACACACCAUUUACAUAGCACACACACGGCUUGUAGGUCAACAACCUUAUCAAUUGCACCCUCUCAGCACCCCCCACCGUUUGCUCAGUUUCCCUAAGACAGUUCUGUAUAAUACGACCAUAUUCUCAAUGUGCGGCUGAUCAAUGCCUUUUCAUUACCGGCUGGACGGAAGCGCUGACGUGAGGUAGAGUGCGGCAGACCUGCUCAGGACCGUGAUUAAUGCUUGUACCCGCCCAGUCCCACCUGGGGACGCAUCGUUAGCCUUGAUUAAAUAUGAGUCCCAAAUUAUGGCUCUGGUCAAAAGUAGUGAACCAUAUAAGGGUGCCAUUUGAAAUACAACCUAAGCCUGCCAAGCCACAUUCACUCACCGAGCUGAGUGUCAUUCAGCUGUCCCAGACCUCUGCGGUCACAAGGUCAAGUGGCCAGCUGGUCGCGGGCGAUUAGUGAGCCAACGAAGGGACUGUAGUCUGGCCGGAAGUCAAAAUUGGGCAGUUUCCGAGGUGGACUGAAACAUGGGUCAGUUGAUUUUUAUACUGCGUGUCUUUGUUGAUUAAGAACAUUAUUCUUUAGGUAGAAAUGGACUUGCAGAUGGAAUCUCAUCUGGAACAGCUAGGUUGGUCAGGGUUCAAAGUGUACGUGGGUUGAAUUCAAUUGUAGCUCAGAUUUACAUGAUCAAUGGGAAAUAAAUAAAACAGAAAUCAAGAGAAUCAAUGAAAAUUGUUCAUGAACUAAUUAAAUGUUGAACUCCAACUGAAAACAAAAGUACCUGCUUUAUCACCGAUAACCUAAAAUGUACUGUCAAGUAAAAACAUAAUUCCCAAUAUAGUGUACUACUUUUGACCAGGGCCCAUUGGCCUAAAAAGUAGUGCAAAAUGGUUGCGUUUAGACAGGCAGCCCAAUUCUGAUAUUUUGCCCAAUUAUUGGCAAAAGACCAGAAUUGGCUUGCCUGUGGGAAUGCAGCUUUUGUAGUGAAUAGAGUGCCAUUUGGGACUCAGUCGGGGACUUCAUUGGUGCCCAUUACCACUGGGGUGCCAGAUUUGACAUACAGCUGUAGCCUCUCAAUUAGAGCCACACUGAUGACUGUUGUAAUCUCCUAAAUAAUGUCCGAGCCCUAUAUAAAUCUACCUGAACAAACCAAAUUCCUCUACCAUAAUGAGAAAUUCAAAUAAGCCAUUUGUUAAGGCUAAAGGGGGAGCGAUCAAGGAUAAAUUCCAGAUCAUUUAUGUAACCUUUUACUUUGCUCAGGUAAGAGUCCAUUUCACCUAUGCUUGUGCUAGCAAGCUGCCUUAAGUCAGUGCCAUCACAGACUGACUUACAGCACAAUAAAGACCUUUGCAUAGAGUGCCCAUUGGACCUUUAUUAUUUGUCAGUGCUCUUGAAGUCUCUUUGCCUCUUCAGUCCAGGGUGCACGGUGCCGUUGUGAAUGUCAGGCUCCACUCAGAGGCACAUCGAUCUGCAGGUUGAACAUGGUGAGAUUGUAGACUCCUAAAUUGAUAAUUCAGUUUUAGGCGAUAUUACAGUUAACUAGUUCCUUCACAUGGUGAUAUUGACUUGUAAUUAUUGUGUGUCGCUACAUUUACUAGCUAUCUAGCUAGCCCAAAGAGAUAAUUGCAUUGUGGGUUUUGUAGUAGACUUGAGCUGCAACAGAUUUCCACAAUGAUUUUCACAUUGCUACCAACCUUAUAAACAACAAAUUUGUGUGUGUGUGUGACUACAAUCAAUUAGUCUCUGCCCUAGGGAUGAACAGGAAUAAAAGUACAGUAAACAAAACAUCUGGAACACUUUUCUUCAAUAUAUCAUUUUAUUUAAAAUAACAUUACAAUUUAUUACUCUACAUUACAUUUUCAAACCAGUUUUUCCUUUUUACAUUGGUUAGUAAACCUUCAUAUAUUCUAAGAAAAAAAAAAAAAACUUCCCAUUUGAGUUUCAGUAUCGGUUGUUAAUUCGUGUCCGUAGUUUGAGUAAAUGAAACACUGCUUUACUUCCAGAACUUGACUUAAUGUAUAUUUAAGUUAGCUUUUGCGUCGCCAAAUACCCUACACAAAAUAACUGACCAACAGUGGUGCUAGCACACAACACUGAUUUCCCACAACUUGAAUAAUUUGAUGAAAUAAUUUAUACGUUUUCAAUCGAGAGAAAGUGCAUUUUUAUCCAAAUUACAAUUUUGCAAUAAUUUACAUUUAGAAGAAACAAGUCUUGUUUUUAAUGUGCCUAUACUUGCAAUCGAACAAAAGCCCUGCUCACCUGAAGCAUAAGGUACAGAAAUAAAAUGUUUUAACUACAAAGGCCUACCAUGUUAUUCUUUUAGAACAUCUAGCUCAUAUGGAAAAAAAGUGUGUGAUGUCCUUUAUCGCUGGGGUGUGUUCAGAACAUUUUGGAACGGUCAGAUUAAAAUACAGCUUGUAGAACAAACACCCCUCUCUGACAUGCAGAAUAAGUGACCAGCUCAAGUUCGACAUUGUUUGGCUACUGAAAGUAGCCCAGGAGUGGCGUUGUUCCGUUCAAAAGGGUGGUGUAACUGGACUACAACAGUGUCAAGCUGCUAUCAGAGGAGGACACUGACCUUUUAAUAAUACUGCAACAAAAAAGGUACAGGACUGACUGACCUUUAAAAUCCAUUUGAUAGGGGAGAUAUGAUAAUUCUCUUAAAAGGGACAUUAUAGAGAAAGCAAAGUAUGUGUAGGUGACUAGCGUAAUUGGUCACUCGGAGCAAAUUAGGGAAAGACAUCUUCGUAUCACUGGCAUCUUGCCGGCUCCUGCUCGCUGUUACCAUGACGAUGGAACACUGAUGACAAGGACACCCCACUCUACAUACAAGUGUGCACCUGUGUAUUUGUAUGCGUGUCUGUGCCUCUGUAUUCCCAGGGUAUAAAAGCUAAGAGAGCACCUGCUUCAGCCUAGAAAUGUACACCGAAGUCUGUCAAAUGCUUUAGCUCAAGGACACAUACCAUUAUGAUGACAAACAUUAAAGAACAUUAACAUGAAUAUGUUAUAAGUGUGAGUGAGUCAGUUACGUGGUCUGGGGCGAUGUUAGACUGGGCAUGCUCAGACAGCGUAGUGCUGCCAAGGCAACCACAUCUAGUCUGAUGGCAGACCAACCUGGAGUGGAGGAAUGGAACACUGGCACACUGAAAGGAGGCGCGCACACGCUAGUUGUCGCUCUCCCCUCUCUCAAAACGACACACACGUUCUGGUAGAGCAUCUGCUAUCUUUAUGUCAUCCAUCUCUAAAUUGGCUAUUACUCUGGCUGUCAAAACGAAUAGGCAGCACCUCAAUUGCACAUCUUCAGCACUUCUUUCAGAAUGCAGCAGUGGCAUUUAUAACGGACAUGCUAGUGUAUCGUUUUGUCAUUGCCAAUUCUCCUUUCGGGAGGCAAGAGUGCAGAACCAUGCAAUUAAGAAUGGUACAGUUUUACACCUGUCAAACUUCAGUAAUAGCCUUCAUUUCAACAUAGUUGAGGCAUGGAAGGGAUGUGGGCUAACCUUAUACAGCCUGAAAAGGCUGCAAGGCAUAGGUCGCUAGGGGAGGGAAAAUGUCACCCAUCCAUCUCUAUCUGCACAGCUGUCACCCUGCAUAACCCCCUCUGGGUUGCAUCCCAAAUGGCACCCUACUACCUAUGUAGCCCUAUGGGCCCCGGCCAAGAGAAGUGCACUUCCUUGGGAAUAGGGUGCCAUUUGAGAUGCCGCCUUGAGUCUUUAUCUGCUGCCUCAAAACCUAAAC
Molecule: RNA transcript, 8042 nt
Organism: Oncorhynchus gorbuscha (pink salmon)
Lineage: Eukaryota; Metazoa; Chordata; Actinopteri; Salmoniformes; Salmonidae
Gene name: neuronal acetylcholine receptor subunit alpha-7-like
Exons: 10
Source: RefSeq, a predicted model, not a curated record